RNAcentral lists this ribosomal RNA (507 nucleotides) under uncultured Glomeromycotina. Its description in RNAcentral is "SSU rRNA". It matches the Rfam family "Eukaryotic small subunit ribosomal RNA", at positions 569 to 1077 of the family's 1831-position model. The record is from RNAcentral. Lineage: Eukaryota; Fungi; Glomeromycota.
AGCAGCCGCGGUAAUUCCAGCUCCAAUAGCGUAUAUUAAAGUUGUUGCAGUUAAAAAGCUCGUAGUUGAAUUUCGGGGUCAGUAGGUUGGUCAUGCCACUGGUAUGUACUGGUCUCACUGAUUCCUCCUUCCUGAUGAGCCGUAAUGCCAUUAAUUUGGUGUUGCGAGGAAUCUGGACUGUUACUUUGAAAAAAUUAGAGUGUUUAAAGCAGGCUAACGCUUGAAUACAUUAGCAUGGAAUAAUGAAAUAGGACGUUCGAUCUUAUUUUGUUGGUUUCUAAGAUUGACGUAAUGAUUAAUAGGGAUAGUUGGGGGCAUUAGUAUUCAAUUGUCAGAGGUGAAAUUCUUGGAUUUAUUGAAGACUAACUACUGCGAAAGCAUUUGCCAAGGAUGUUUUCAUUAAUCAAGAACGAAAGUUAGGGGAUCGAAGACGAUCAGAUACCGUCGUAGUCUUAACCAUAAACUAUGCCGACUAGGGAUCGGAUGAUGUUAAUUUUUUAGUGACUC